This 429-nucleotide ribosomal RNA is filed under the name uncultured bacterium. RNAcentral's name for it is "bacterial SSU rRNA". It matches the Rfam family "Bacterial small subunit ribosomal RNA", at positions 355 to 776 of the family's 1533-position model. The record is from RNAcentral.
UGGGGAAUAUUGGACAAUGGGCGAAAGCCUGAUCCAGCGACGCCGCGUGUGUGAAGAAGGCCUGCGGGUUGUAAAGCACUUUUAGUGGGGAUGAAAAGCCUAGAGCUAAUACCUCUGGGUCUUGACCUAACCCACAGAAAAAGCACCGGCUAACUCUGUGCCAGCAGCCGCGGUAAUACAGAGGGUGCGAGCGUUAAUCGGAAUUACUGGGCGUAAAGCGUGCGUAGACGGUUAUUUAAGUCGGGUGUGAAAGCCCCGGGCUCAACCUGGGAAUUGCAUUCGAGACUGGAUAGCUAGGGUACGGUAGAGGGAAGUGGAAUUUCCGGUGUAGCGGUGAAAUGCGUAGAUAUCGGAAGGAACAUCAGUGGCGAAAGCGACUUCCUGGACCAGUACCGACGUUCAGGCACGAAAGCGUGGGGAGCAAACAGG